RNAcentral lists this ribosomal RNA (481 nucleotides) under uncultured bacterium. RNAcentral describes it as "partial 16S ribosomal RNA". It matches the Rfam family "Bacterial small subunit ribosomal RNA", at positions 28 to 523 of the family's 1533-position model. The record is from RNAcentral.
GACGAACGCUGGCGGCGUGCUUAACACAUGCAAGUCGAACGGUGAAAGGGAGCUUGCUCCCUGGAUCAGUGGCGAACGGGUGAGUAACACGUGGGCAACCUGCCCCAGACUUCGGGAUAACGCUUCGAAAGAGGUGCUAAUACCGGAUACGAACUCCUUGGGCAUCCUUGGAGUUGGAAAGUUUUUCGGUCUGGGAUGGGCCCGCGGCCUAUCAGCUUGUUGGUGAGGUAACGGCUCACCAAGGCGACGACGGGUAGCCGGCCUAAGAGGGUGACCGGCCACACUGGGACUGAGAUACGGCCCAGACUCCUACGGGAGGCAGCAGUGGGGAAUAUUGCACAAUGGGCGCAAGCCUGAUGCAGCGACGCCGCGUGAGGGAUGACGGCCUUCGGGUUGUAAACCUCUUUCAGUAGGGACGAAGCGCAAGUGACGGUACCUACAGAAGAAGGACCGGCCAACUACGUGCCAGCCGCCGCGGUAA